This 774-nucleotide ribosomal RNA is filed under the name uncultured Neocallimastigales. RNAcentral describes it as "partial large subunit ribosomal RNA". It matches the Rfam family "Eukaryotic large subunit ribosomal RNA", at positions 25 to 627 of the family's 3401-position model. The record is from RNAcentral. Lineage: Eukaryota; Fungi; Neocallimastigomycota; Neocallimastigomycetes; Neocallimastigales.
ACACUGACGUCGCGACGCAUAUCAAUAAGCGGAGGAAAAGAAACUAACAAGGAUUCCCCUAGUAACGGCGAGUGAAGCGGGAAGAGCUCAAAUUUGAAAUCUUAAAGGGUUUCCCUUUACGAAUUGUAGUUUAAAGAAGUGUUUUCUGUUGAGGUUUUGGUAAAAGUUCUUUGGAAUAGGACAUCAUAGAGGGUGAGAAUCCCGUAUUUGACCUUUACUUCCAACUUUGUGAUACACUUUCAAAGAGUCGGAUUGUUUGGGAAUGCAGUCCAAAAUGGGUGGUAAAUUUCAUCUAAAGCUAAAUAUUGGCGAGAGACCGAUAGCGAACAAGUACCGUGAGGGAAAGAUGAAAGGAACUUUGAAAAGAGAGUUAAACAGUACGUGAAAUUGUCAAAAGGGAAGCGUUUGACACCAGUGUUGUUUUUCUGAAAAUCAAUUAAAGAACUGUUUAUGCUAAGCUGUUUAGACUUUAUCAGCUAUCUGUUUAGUUUUGAGCCUUUCUUUAAUGCACUUUCCAGUUAACAAGUCAACAUCAAUUUCUUUUGCUGUAAAAAAGCUUGAGGAAGGUGGCUUGAGAUUCGUCUUAAGUGUUUAUAGCCUCCUGCCUAUGCAGUCGGAGAGAUUGAGGUCUGCAGCGUAGAUCCUUCGGGGCUAAAUGCAUUUGUGCUAAGUUAUAGCAUUUCAUAGACAACUUGUUGACUAUGAUUUGUCCUGUAGCUUACUCGCUUAUGUUAUUUUACCUACGCUUAGGAUGUUGAACUCUAUCACACACAG